GUUUGUAUAGUUUAAAAAAAAACAACUUUUUUUCAAAAAGUAGAAGAUAUUUUUUAUCUACAAAAA
This 66-nucleotide transfer RNA is filed under the name Trichophilopterus babakotophilus. Its description in RNAcentral is "tRNA-Glu". Lineage: Eukaryota; Metazoa; Arthropoda; Insecta; Psocodea; Philopteridae. The record is from RNAcentral.